RNAcentral lists this small RNA (286 nucleotides) under Martelella sp. AD-3. RNAcentral's name for it is "5' ureB small RNA". It matches the Rfam family "5' ureB small RNA". The record is from Rfam by way of RNAcentral. Lineage: Bacteria; Pseudomonadati; Pseudomonadota; Alphaproteobacteria; Hyphomicrobiales; Aurantimonadaceae.
UCCUCGAUCUGCUGCGGGCAGAUGAAGUGGAUAUGGGCGUCCAUGCCGCCGGCGGUGACGCACUUGCCCUCGGCCGAAAUCACCUCCGUGCCCGGCCCGACGAUGAUGUCGACGCCGGCUUGCGUAUCCGGAUUGCCGGCCUUGCCGAUGCCGGCGAUGCGGCCGUCCUUGAUGCCGAUAUCGGCCUUGACGAUGCCCCAGUGGUCGAUGAUCAGCGCAUUGGUCAUCACCGUGUCGACCGCCCCCUCGGCCCGGCUUGCCUGGGACUGCCCCAUGCCGUCGCGGA